GACGAACGCUGGCGGCGUGCUUAACACAUGCAAGUCUAACGGAAAGGCCCUGCUUUUGUGGGGUGCUCGAGUGGCGAACGGGUGAGUAACACGUGAGUAACCUGCCCUUGACUUUGGGAUAACUUCAGGAAACUGGGGCUAAUACCGGAUAGGAGCUCCUGCUGCAUGGUGGGGGUUGGAAAGUUUCGGCGGUUGGGGAUGGACUCGCGGCUUAUCAGCUUGUUGGUGGGGUAGUGGCUUACCAAGGCUUUGACGGGUAGCCGGCCUGAGAGGGUGACCGGCCACAUUGGGACUGAGAUACGGCGCAGACUCCUACGGGAGGCAGCAGUGGGGAAUAUUGCACAAUGGGCGGAAGCCUGAUGCAGCAACGCCGCGUGCGGGAUGACGGCCUUCGGGUUGUAAACCGCUUUAGCCUGUGACGAAGCGUGAGUGACGGUAAUGGGUAAAGAAGCACCGGCUAACUACGUG
Molecule: ribosomal RNA, 468 nt
Filed under: uncultured bacterium
Lineage: Bacteria
Description: partial 16S ribosomal RNA
Rfam family: Bacterial small subunit ribosomal RNA
Source: RNAcentral